Sapajus apella (tufted capuchin) is the source of this 126-nucleotide long non-coding RNA. RefSeq lists it as uncharacterized. The record is from RefSeq and is a predicted model, not a curated record. The transcript is spliced from 2 exons. Lineage: Eukaryota; Metazoa; Chordata; Mammalia; Primates; Cebidae.
UGAGGCAGGAGAAUUGCCUGAACCCAGGAGGCGGAGGUUACAUUGAGCCAUGCUCACGCCACUGCACUCCAGCCUGGGAGACAGAGCGAGACUCCAUCUCAAAAAAAAAAAAAAGACAUAAAUAGU